AUUCCCCUAGUAACUGCGAGUGAAGCGGGAAAAGCUCAAAUUUAAAAUCUGGUGGCCUUUGGCCAUCCGAGUUGUAAUUUAGAGAAGCGUCUUCCGCGCUGGACCGUGCACAAGUCUCCUGGAACGGAGCGUCGUAGAGGGUGAGAAUCCCGUCUUUGGCACGGACGCCCAGUGCUUCUGUGAUGCGCUCUCGAAGAGUCGAGUUGUUUGGGAAUGCAGCUCAAAAUGGGUGGUGAACUCCAUCUAAAGCUAAAUAUUGGCGAGAGACCGAUAGCGAACAAGUACCGUGAGGGAAAGAUGAAAAGCACUUUGGAAAGAGAGUGAAACAGUACGUGAAAUUGUUGAAAGGGAAACGCUUGAAGUCAGUCGCGUCGUCCGAGACUCAGCCUCGCCUCGGCUUGGUGUACUUCUCGGCCGACGGGUCAGCAUCAAUUUCGCCCCUUGGAUAAUGGCCAGGGAAAUGUGACACCUUUACGGGUGUGUUAUAGUCUCUAGUCGCAUGCAAGGGUCGGGAUUGAGGAACUCAGCACGCGCCUUCGGGCGUCGGGGUUCGCCCACGAUACGUGCUUAGGAUGUUGGCGUAAUGGCUUCAAACGACCCGUCUUGAAACACGGACCAAGGAGUCUAACAUGCCCGCGAGUGUUCGGGUGGAAAACCCGUGCGCGCAAUGAAAGUGAAAGUUGGGACCUCCGUCGUGGAGGGCACCAACGCCCGGACCAGACCUUCUGUGACGGAUCUGCGGUAGAGCGUGUAUGUUAGGACCCGAAAGAUGGUGAACUAUGCCUGAAUAGGGUGAAGCCAGAGGAAACUCUGGUGGAGGCUCGUAGCGAUUCUGAACGUGCAAAUCGAUCGUCAAAUUUGGGUAUAGGGGCGAAAGAC
RNAcentral lists this ribosomal RNA (879 nucleotides) under Russula sanguinaria. RNAcentral's name for it is "eukaryotic LSU rRNA". It matches the Rfam family "Eukaryotic large subunit ribosomal RNA", at positions 74 to 931 of the family's 3401-position model. The record is from RNAcentral. Lineage: Eukaryota; Fungi; Basidiomycota; Agaricomycetes; Russulales; Russulaceae.